Xiphias gladius (swordfish) is the source of this 242-nucleotide long non-coding RNA. RefSeq lists it as uncharacterized. The record is from RefSeq and is a predicted model, not a curated record. The transcript has 3 exons. Lineage: Eukaryota; Metazoa; Chordata; Actinopteri; Istiophoriformes; Xiphiidae.
AUUCAUUACUCAGCCGUUUCUGUCUGUCUCUACAUGUUGUAUCUUCAGGGAUCAACGGGGGCUUUGGGGCAGGAGGGAGUUGCUGGUCUCGAUGGGUCCAGUUGGACUGAGGGGACCUGAGGGCCCAGCUGGAAAAAAAGGCAUAUCUGGUGAUAAGGGAAACAAUGGACCUCCUGGACAGAAAGGGCCAAAGGGAACUGAAGGCAACAGAGGCAAUCAAGGGCCACAGGGAACAAAGGGGC